This 2890-nucleotide long non-coding RNA is filed under the name Manihot esculenta (cassava). Its description in RNAcentral is "long non-coding RNA (MESC_LNC001606)". The record is from RNAcentral. Lineage: Eukaryota; Viridiplantae; Streptophyta; Magnoliopsida; Malpighiales; Euphorbiaceae.
UGCACUAUACAUAGUCAUAAACAUUAACCCCACUUUGGAGUCCUCAUCAAUGCUCCAAUGGGGUGACAUAACAUAAAUUAAGUUUGGUUUACAGUAAUCAUCAUUAAACAUUAAGAUCAUGUACUAGAAAGGAAUUAACAUAACACUAUGGUCAAGUACAAUUCUAAACUCCCAUAAGCAUCAUCACAUAACAUUACAAUACUUUACUUAUACAUUACAUCAUAUUCAUAUUCAUGUCCACAUCUAGCUAUUACAGACAACCUGACUCUACUCCUGCUGACCUCCUAGUCUACCAUGUACCUGCAAAUCUGGGGGUUAAGGGAGAAGGGUGAGCUAUAAAGCCCAGUGAGCAGAAUAAUAACAUAUUCAGUUUAUAUCUCAUGCUUUGAUGAAGUGCAACACAACACAAACAAAUCAUAUCAAGGAUGGUAUUGUCACCAAUAGUCCUCUACAUUCCAAGGUGCCGGGACGUAGAAUGGGUCAACCGGUCUUUCUCUUAAAUAUAGCAUAUCAUAACAUUCCAACGUGCCGGGACGUAGAAUGGGUCAACCGGUCUUUCCCUUACAUAGUGCCGGGACGUAGAAUGGGUCAACCGGACUUCCAUACCAUAUCAUACCAUAUCAUAUUACAUCUUAUCAUAUUGAGGACUAAGGAUCAUCCAACAUCCAUCCACAUCAUCAUCAAGUUAUGCAAUGCAACAUAUUCGUGAAUUCUAAUGCAAACAACCUAGAAUAUCACAUGGCAUUCGUGAUGCAUGAACAUGCUCAAAUCAAUAUUUAAUUGCUUUAAAACAUAAGUGUUUAUUCCACUCACCUCUGGCUGAAGCUCUAAGGACUCUGAAGUGACUGACUCACUGUUGGGGUCCUCGGUUCCUCGGGUCCGAACCUACAUAGGUAGACUCAAAUGAGGGACCAAACAUCCAUGAACAUGACUCUAAAAUACUCCCCAAAAACUCCUUAAAACACCUUAAAACAAUCAUAGAAAACAUGCAAAGGAGGGCUGAACAGGGCACUUUCGGCGGUAGGUUCGGCGGCCGAAAGGCCCUCUAGAGCCGAAAGUCAUGCACCUUCGGCGGCACUUUCGGUGGCCGAAGGUUCCCUCCAGAGACGAAACUCAUGCAUGUUCGGCGGCACCUUCGGCAGCCGAAACUCCCUUCCAGAGCCGAAAGUCAUCUUUCGGGGGCAGGGUUCGGCAGCCGAUUCAUGCUACCACAGGCAGGUUCGGCGGCCGAAAGAACCUUCGGCUGCCGAACUUGGUUUCUCCCAAAAGGGUAGAAACUCAACUCAACAUGCAUAAACGCCUCCCAACUCAUUCAAUCAUGCAUAUUCCCAUUCUACAACAUGCAUACUCAAGUAUACAAGCUCCUAGGGGCUUCAAACUAUCAUAAACCCCAACUACAACACAUCAAACAUGCAUAACCAACAUACAUUGCUCAUAAACACACAUUUAACCAAAAAAUCAACAUAAACCUACACAUGCAUUUCUACCUCAAAAACUUCAUAAAACUUACUUAAAACAUGAAAGGAACUAUGGAUCUACUCUUACCUCUUGAAGAACGAGGGGAGAGACGAUCCGACUCGGAGAUGGGAGAGAUUCGCUCUUUGGUCUCCAAGUUUCCAAAACUUGCUCUUUUUGCUCAAAUCUCUUCAAAUCAACAUAAAACUUGUUAAAACAUGAAAGACCGGAGGAAAAACAUCAAAAACGAACCAAAGGAGAGCAUGAACUCAUCGUAGCUGAAAAUGGGGAGAAAACUCGCCCGUUUCGGCCAUGGAGCUCUUAUAUAGGGCUGGCAGACCACCUUUCGGCAGCCGAACGUGCCCCCACAUCUCAUGCAAGUUCGGCGGCCGAACAUGAGGUUCGGCGGCCGAACCUUUGAGGCUUUUGGAAGCCUAACAUGCCCCCCUAAACCAUCCCACAUUCGGCGGCCGAACCUGGAAAUGCCUCCUUGGUCUUUUUCAUACAAAACUCAAUUUCCUUUUUACUUAAAAACAUAAAAUACAUUAAAACGUUUUAUAAAAACAUGAUUUUACCCUUCUAAAGGUUUCCGACCUCUGGGAUUCCACCGGACGGUAGGAAUUCCGAUACCGGAGUCUAGCCGACUAUUACAUAUAUGAUAAAAAAGAUACAUUAGACUUAUUUAGAUAUUGUCAUUUUAUUUUACACCACUAAAGCAAAGAGGAAAAAUAAAAAGAUAAAAAAGAGUGAAGAAUUUUUAUAGUAUCUUGGUGAUUGCAUAUAGCAUGACCCAUAUGACUGACAACUUAAUAAAAUAUAAAUAAAUCUGCAAAAAUAAUUUUUAAAAAUAGGAAAAUGAAUCUAAAAAAUACCCAGGAAUCUCUCUUUUUUUUUCAAAAAAAAAAUAAUUAUAUUUUAUUACAUAUUAAAUUCUUAUAAAUUUUUAACUUGAAAAAGAAAAAAGCCCAACAAACAGAGUAUCAAAUUAUUGGAACAUCAUUGAGCACUGUUACAGACAGUAACACUGAACAGAACAGUAUCACAAUCGGAAAAAAAAAUAUUUAAAUUAAAAAGAAAAGAUAUUUUAAAACGUAAAAUCUGUAAAUCAUUGGAUAUUCAAUUAUUGAAGGACAAGUGAGUGCAUACCAGCCGCACGCUUCUGUUAUCUCUGCGUGGAGCAAAGAGAAAACAAGAAGCUUUUAAAACCACGGAGGACAUUUCCUGAUUCCAGAGCCUGUGAAACAGAAAUGCAAAUGGAGACAUCAAGCAGAAGCAGUUCAGUAGCAGUAGCAAUUAUAUUGGUGAUAAUAGUGACGUUGGGAUGGAGAGUGCUCAACUGGGUGUGGUUUAGGCCAAAGAAGCUUGACAGAUUUCUGAGAAAACAGGGACUUGCAGGCAAUCCAUACAGGUUUUUUCAUGGAGACUUGAAACAGAG